GUCUGCGUCUCUUCCUCGCAGCAGCCGCCCCCCCAGCCCGGCGGCCGCGGCCCGCGUGGACGCCCCGAGCGCCCCCCGACGGACGCCACCGGCUCACUGGCAGGCGGGCGAGCGUGCGGCCGCGCCCGGCCGGCAGCGCGGGGGUUAAGGGGCCCAAGUAAACGUAGCUCGGCGAUCGGCGCAGGAGAUUCGCGAGCCGAGCGCUCUGCUCGGCCGCCCGCCGGCCUCCCGCCAGCCUGCCCCGACCCGCGGCUCGACCGCGGAGCCGCGCCCGAGUCAGGCUCUCGGCAGGUGGCCAUUAAUGAGAAUUGGAGAUGAAGGGAGGCACCUCUUCUGGCCACUUCUUUCCUGCCUUCUUCCACCAAGGAAACAAUGAAGGGAGACACCAGACAACUCAACGGAGAGGAGGAUGCCAGCAGGAGGGAAGACUCCAUCAUCACCAAUGGGGGCUGCAGCGACCAGUCUUCCGACUCCAAGGACGCACCCUCGCCCCCGAUCCUGGAGGCUAUCAGCACCCCGGAGAUCAGAGGCCGCAGAUCAAGCUCUCGACUGUCCAAGAGGGAGGUCUCCAGCCUCCUAAGUUACACUCAGGAUUUGACGGGUGACGGAGACGGUGAAGGGGAGGAUGGAGAUGGCUCAGACACUCCAGUGAUGCCAAAACUCUUCCGUGAAACCAGGACUCGGUCUGAAAGUCCAGCGGUCCGAACCCGAAAUAACAACAGUACCUCCAGCCGGGAGAGGCACAGGCCCUCCCCACGGGCCACCCGAGGCCGGCAGGGCCGCCACCACGUGGACGAGUCCCCCGUGGAGUUCUCAGCUACCAGGUCCCUGCGGCGGCGAACCGCGUCAUCGGCAGGCACGCCGUGGCCGUCCCCUGCCAGCCCCUACCUCACCAUCGACCUCACAGAGGACGAUGUGGUGCCACAGAGCAGCAGUACGCCCUACGGCCGCCUGGCCCAGGACAGCCAGCAGGAGAGCAUGGAGUCCCCGCAGGUGGACACAGAGGAUAGGGAUGCAGACAGCUCAGAGUACCAGGAUGGGAAAGAGUUUGGAAUAGGGGAUCUUGUGUGGGGAAAGAUCAAGGGUUUCUCCUGGUGGCCUGCCAUGGUGGUGUCCUGGAAGGCCACGUCCAAGCGGCAGGCGAUGGCGGGCAUGCGGUGGGUCCAGUGGUUUGGCGAUGGCAAGUUCUCCGAGAUACCAGCUGAUAAGUUGGUGGCCUUGGGGUUGUUCAGCCACCACUUUAACCUGGCGACCUUCAAUAAACUGGUCUCGUACAGGAAGGCCAUGUACCACGCGCUGGAGAAAGCCAGGAUACGGGCUGGCAAGACCUUCCCCAGCAACCCUGGAGACUCAAUGGAGGACCAGCUGAAGCCCAUGUUGGAGUGGGCCCAUGGGGGCUUUAAGCCCACAGGGGUCGAGGGGCUCAAACCCAACAACAAGCAACCAGAGAGUAAGACUCGAAGACGCACAGCUGACGACUCGGCUACCUCUGACUACUGCCCCCCACCCAAGCGCCUCAAGACAAACUGUUACAAUAACGGAAAAGACCGAGGGGAUGAGGAUCAGAGUCGAGAGCAAAUGGCUUCAGAUGUGACCAACAAUAAGAGCAGUCUGGAAGACAGCUGUUUAUCCUGUGGUCGGAAAAAUCCCGUGUCUUUCCACCCUCUCUUUGAGGGUGGGCUCUGCCAGACAUGCAGGGACCGCUUCCUCGAGCUGUUCUACAUGUAUGACGAUGACGGCUACCAGUCGUACUGCACAGUGUGCUGCGAGGGCCGCGAGCUGCUCCUUUGCAGCAACACGAGCUGUUGCCGGUGCUUCUGCGUGGAGUGCCUGGAGGUGUUGGUGGGUGCGGGCACGGCAGCGGAUGCCAAGCUGCAGGAGCCCUGGAGCUGCUACAUGUGCCUUCCGCAGCGCUGCCACGGUGUCCUGCGUCGCCGCAAGGACUGGAGUGUGCGCCUGCAGGCCUUCUUCACCAGUGACCCGGGCCUCGAAUAUGAAGCCCCCAAGUUAUACCCUGCAAUUCCCGCAAACCGAAGGCGGCCCAUUCGAGUCUUGUCCCUGUUUGAUGGAAUUGCAACAGGGUACUUGGUCCUCAAAGAAUUGGGCAUCAAAGUGGAGAAAUACGUCGCCUCAGAAGUGUGUGAAGAGUCCAUCGCUGUUGGAACUGUUAAGCAUGAGGGCAACAUCAAAUAUGUGAAUGACGUCAGGAAUAUCACAAAGAAAAACAUUGAAGAGUGGGGCCCCUUUGACCUGGUGAUUGGUGGAAGCCCAUGCAAUGAUCUGUCAAAUGUGAACCCUGCCAGGAAAGGCCUGUAUGAGGGCACAGGUCGGCUCUUCUUUGAGUUCUACCACCUGCUGAAUUACACACGCCCCAAGGAGGGUGAUGACCGGCCUUUCUUCUGGAUGUUUGAGAAUGUGGUGGCCAUGAAGGUUGGAGACAAGCGGGACAUCUCUCGGUUCCUGGAGUGUAAUCCAGUGAUGAUUGAUGCCAUCAAAGUGUCUGCUGCUCACAGAGCCCGAUAUUUCUGGGGCAACCUGCCUGGGAUGAACAGGUAACGAGGGGCUUUGAGCGGGACAGGUAAUAGCCAAGUUAAAUUUUAUCGUGUGAGCCCUCACCGUCGGCUCUUAAGACAAAAACACUUUGGAGCCUUCUAGAAAGAAGUGGCUCUGCUGAGAAAGUGCCUCACCCCGGCCGACCAACCUCUGGUGAUAAGGUUGAAUUGAAGCCUGUUAGGCCAUAUAUAACCACUGCCCAAGAAUCUCAGGCUAGGAUUCUUCAGGUCGCUCUUUCUCUUUGUUUGUAGGAUUAGUUCUUAAAAAAGCCACUGUUGUCUUCUCAGCCAGGGACCCUACCUCUUCUCUGUGUUGCUUGCCAUCCUACUGGGAAAUGAACUACAUCUCCCUGCUCCUGAGAUGAAGCAAUCCCCGCAGCAGGCCUGUGGCCAUCAGAGCUCAGCUAACAAUUAGUGGCCCAAAGCCUGUCUCCCUUGGAUUUUCUUAACCACGAUUUUCCCCCAACUUUUCAUCAGUCUCAUGUUGAAAGCCACAAAGCACGUGUCUUUGCUGAGGAUUAAUUAGCUCUUCCGUGCUUCCGGGAGACCAACCUGCUAAUUAAGAUCCAAAAUAUGAUGGCAAUGUGACUUGCAAAUACGUUCCCUUCAAAAAAUUAUCCUUUAAAAAGGAAGCGUUGGAAGCAUAACUUUCAGGCAUUUUGCACCGUGUGGUCAGAGGUGAAAGGGUACUGGAUGGAAGAGCUCAGGAUUUCUGUAGGGGUAGAGAAGACAAGCAAUGAUUUCAGGGUCAGGGACGGAGGAGCCUUGGAAGAUUUGAUGGGGAAGCUGCCCUGUGAAGGAGUGGAGACAGGCAGUGGAGUGCAGAAGGGAGAGGUCAGGGCUGCUGGCCACAGGGCAUUUGAAGACACGCUAAGUGUUCCAAGGGUCAGGAGUGUGGGCGAGAAGAGGGCAGAGAACUUGUCUCUCUGCCAAAUUUAUGUGAUGUCUGUGGGUCAUCCAUAGCACCAUGUAAGUUUACUUUGGCCCCAGGUGUUUGUGGGAGCUUCUACACAGAUGGAGGUAUCUAGUCACAGGAUAAAGGCAGAAAUAUAUGGGGAGGCAGCCAAGGUGAGGGAGGAGAGCAAAUUGUCUUGUGCCCAACGGGUACCAUCCACAUGCAUGGAACACCCAGGGGAGUGGCAACUCCAGGAGGAUGUCCUGUGGACUUGAGAAGGGAACAGAUUCUUAAGAGUAGGGAUCAGAUUCUAUGGCUCUUCAAAGAAACAUAGGACCCACAGGAUUUGCUGAGAAUUGGAUGUAGGGUGUGAGAUGGAAGAGGAGGCAGCAGAGACUUUAAUGAGUUGGGAUGAGAAGUACCCUGCAGGAUGGGCAUGAAAUGGGUCAGAGCCAAAGCCAGCCUGUAGACCAAACACCCUGGAAUCAACAGAAGGGAGGGCAGGGCUGUGAAUCCCUAGCUUCCCUGGGUUCAUGGAAGAGUUGGGAAUGGAGAGAGGGUGGCAUUUGAAACCUGGAACGGGAGGUCAGAAUCUAGGGAGACAUUUAUGUUCAGUGUCCUCGCUUGUGGGUACCAUAUCCAGCCUUAUGUCUGUUUUGGCCUGGGGGUUCCUUACACAGGGAUGCUGUGGCCUUCACCAGCUCUGUGCCUUCAGACCUCUUGUUGGUUUUCCCUCGGGACCUGCUUAACCCCUUCAGUUCCUAAAGUUCUAUCCCUUCCCCUUCUCAAGCAUCUGUUUGCCUCUCUCUGCAUUUGUGAGUUUCAGUGGUAGGGAGUUACAAAGGGAAUUACAGUUCUUUUGUGAACCUUCUUUUCUUUCCUGGACACAUUAUUAAAGCAUCUUAAGGCUGCAUCCCCAGGAAGAAGCCACCAAAUCAUGGGUUUGAUGUGCUAGUUGUAACAAGUAGCAAGGAGAAGCAUUCACUUCUGGACAUUGGACUCCCCGUCCUCUCUGCCACCUCCCCAGCCCCUCACCAGGGGGCUUGUGUGUCCCUCGCACAGCCCACAGGCUUGGGCUCUUGCCAGGGCCAUUUUAAUCAUGUAUUUGUAGCAAGUUCACUGCCAGAGCACAUUUCGCAGCCUUGGGCCCUCCUACCUCGGGAGGUGCCUAGCCAAGGCCCCUUUCCCAUGGGCAGACUGUAAUGGGUUUUGGAUGUUCCCAGGCCUGUGAUAGCAUCAAAGAAUGAUAAACUCGAGCUACAGGACUGCUUGGAGUUCAAUAGGACAGCAAAGGUAAGAUGUGCUCUGUGCCUGGCUCACCAGGAAACACACUUGGUGAACUUGACCUUGGUGUCCAGUUUUUCCCUGCCCCUUCCCCCCACAUGACUCCCUGGUGCUGGGCAGCUUUCCCCACAUCAUUAUUCCAACCUCUGAGUAGGAGAGGUUCUUAAUCAACAAAAAUCACUGAGAAAAAGCAACUCGAUUUUUUCCAAUUGUGAAUGCAUACUCCAUAGAGACACAGACAACUCAUCUCAUUCUCCCAGUGAGAAAUGAGCAAUUAUACUUUCUCUAGCAAAAAGUAUAUGAUCUCUUGUUAAGUCAUAGAUAAUUCUCUUAAGAGCACCGUAAACUUAUUUUUCAAUAUUUUCAUCACGCUAAGCUCCAUUCAUUGAAACCCUGUUUGGCCAUUCUCCACAAUCUGAGUGGACUUGUUUACUUUUGCGGAAUCUCCAUCAAUAACUCUGUAACUCUGUUUUCUGGCCCCUUGCGCCCCCCUCCCGCCAUGGGAUCUCAUUCGUAGUCACUUUUUUUUUUAUCUCUUGUUCUCUCUGAGGCUGGUCUUUCCUGUUCCUUUACUUCUUGGUGUUUGUGGAAAGCACAGCGUGUUCUUGCAGAGCUCUCCUUGCCUUGUGCUCCUCGCCUGGCUCUCUCCCUCCCCCACCUGCCCUCCCUCCUCCACCUUCCCUAGGUGCUUCUCAGCCUUGACCUAGAACCCUUCCUUCUGCGCUCACUCCAUGAUGUUGUUUUGUUCUCCAGUUAAAGAAAGUACAGACAAUAACCACCAAGUCGAACUCGAUCAGACAGGGGAAAAACCAACUUUUCCCUGUUGUCAUGAAUGGCAAAGAAGAUGUUUUGUGGUGCACUGAGCUAGAAAGGAUCUUCGGCUUUCCUGUACACUACACAGAUGUCUCCAACAUGGGCCGGGUGGCCCGCCAGAAGCUGCUCGGUCGGUCCUGGAGUGUACCUGUCAUCCGACACCUCUUCGCCCCCCUGAAGGACUACUUUGCCUGUGAAUAGUUCCCCAGGCACCAGGGCCUGUGGGCAGAGCCACAACCCAGGAGGUGACCCAGGCUGUGCCCAUCCUCAGUGCCGCCAUGUAACGUGGGUUCAUGCCGAGUACCUAGUCGAGAGCAGAGCCACCUUGCCCCUCCUGGCAGGGGGGGCCCCCUCCCGGAGGUGCCACCUCCUUGUGCACAAUUCAGACCUGGCUGCUUGGAGCAGCCAAGCCCGGUGCUCAUUUUAUCUUCUAAAACUUUAAGACUUGAAGUAGGUAGUACGAUGGCUUUUUUUCCCCCUCCUGGGUUUACCUCUCAGAAAAAUGAUGGCUAAGUUACCAAAACCACAGUGCCGACAGCUCUUCAAUACUCAGGUUAAUGCUGAAAGUUACCCAAGACAGUUACUGCAAGACUUUAAUUUCUUAGAUAUCUGCAGCUCCUUAUUUCCAGGAGUGCAGCAGGUGACAUGUAGCGGAGGGCCCAGGAUAGUUUAUUCUUCUAGGGCCAGCAGAAAAAGACAUGAUGCCCAUGUCUUGAAUUUUCCCCGGCUGGGUCUCCUGGCCUCAGCCGGGAACCGGGGCCCAGUUAGACUAUUUUCCACAAGGAUGAUGGUUUCAGCAGGGAUGACAUCAUCAUCAUCACAUUCAGGGCUAUUUUUUCCCCAUAAACCCAAGGGCAGGACUACCCUUAGCUAACUCUCUCCCAGUGACUGCAAUAGAACCCUCUGGAAGCUCAGGAAGGGGUGGGCUGGGUCAUAAGCCGCCAUAUAUUGUGUAGGCAGGUAUGGCUUCUCUCCAUCUCCCCGGAUGUGUGAGGGGAGAGGGGGAGGAGGAGGCGGCUUAGGUAAGCCCCCCCCCGCCCCAUGCACCCUCCAGACAGGCAGGCACAGGUUAGAAGUAUGACGCCCUCGUUCCCCAGCCUUUUCUCAAGGCAGCAGCAGUGACAGCCAGGGGCAGAAGCACAUUCCUCACACUUUGCCCUCAACUAAGAGACUGUAGGGGGGAAAACUGCAAUAAAACCUCGACCCUCCCUCCAGAGAUUUUUAAAUCCCAUUUUUAUUCCAUGAUAAAUCGUCUUUUAGGAGGUUGGACAAGCUGCAUUUCAGAAAUGCUGUCAUAAUGGUUUUUAACACCUUUUACUCUUCUUACUGGUGCUAUUUUGUAGAAUAAGGAACAGGUUUUGACAGGUUUUGUGGGAGUUUUUUUAUACACUUUUUAAAACAAAUCUCAGACAUCUAUUUUUGUUUUAAGAUUUUCAUAAAAAUUUUUUUUGUAACUGGAGCCACAUAACAAGUUUGGGGGAAAAUUGUGCCUUGUUUCAACAGUUUUGCUAAUUUUUAGGCUGAAAGAUGACAGAUGCCUAGAGUUUACCUUAUGUUGAAUUAAAAUCAGUAUUUCUCUAACA
This is a non-coding RNA of Sus scrofa (pig), 7127 nucleotides long. Lineage: Eukaryota; Metazoa; Chordata; Mammalia; Artiodactyla; Suidae. The record is from RefSeq and is a predicted model, not a curated record.